GCACACAUGGUGUAGCGGUAACAUUCAACCCUUCCAAGGUUGAGCUCUGGGUUCGACUCCCAGUGUGUGCA
RNAcentral lists this transfer RNA (71 nucleotides) under Diaporthe ampelina. It matches the Rfam family "tRNA". Rfam says of the family: Transfer RNA (tRNA) molecules are approximately 80 nucleotides in length. Their secondary structure includes four short double-helical elements and three loops (D, anti-codon, and T loops). The record is from Rfam by way of RNAcentral. Lineage: Eukaryota; Fungi; Ascomycota; Sordariomycetes; Diaporthales; Diaporthaceae.